Molecule: ribosomal RNA, 427 nt
Filed under: uncultured bacterium
Lineage: Bacteria
Description: bacterial SSU rRNA
Rfam family: Bacterial small subunit ribosomal RNA
Source: RNAcentral
GAUGAACGCUGGCGGCGUGCUUAACACAUGCAAGUCGAACGGGCGCUUUAGCAAUAGAGCGCUAGUGGCAAACGGGUGAGUAACACGUGGGCGACCUGCCUCAAAGUGGGGAACAACAGACCGAAAGGUUUGCUAAUACCGCAUGUGCUCGACGAUUCAAUUGGUCGAGUAAAACCGCAAGGUGCUUUGAGAGGGGCCCGCGUCCCAUCAGGUAGUUGGUGAGGUAAGGCCCACCAAGCCGAUGACGGGUAGCUGGUCUGAGAGGACGAUCAGCCACAAUGGAACUGAGACACGGCCCAGACUCCUACGGGAGGCAGCAGUGGGGAAUAUUGGACAAUGGGCGAAAGCCUGAUCCAGCGAUGCCGCGUGUGUGAAGAAGGCCUGCGGGUUGUAAAGCACUUUCAGUAGGGAAGAAAGACCGAGUGCC